RNA transcript from Harpia harpyja (harpy eagle), 6737 nucleotides. It is a transcript of the gene named T cell activation inhibitor, mitochondrial, with no coding region annotated. The record is from RefSeq and is a predicted model, not a curated record. The transcript has 12 exons. NCBI's taxonomy places the organism in Eukaryota, Metazoa, Chordata, Aves, Accipitriformes, Accipitridae.
GCCGCCCCCGGCCCCGCCCCCGGCGGGAAUCCCCCCUCCCGCCGUCUCUGGGGCCGUCGGUGGGGGUGGCUGCGCCAGGCGAUGGGGACCGAGCCCCGGCGGGCGCCGUCCGGCCGUGGCGUGAGUUAGUGGAUGGCUGAAAGUUGGCUUGACCAUUGAGUUGCUGAAAUGUUUUGCUGCUUGAGAGCCGUGCGAAGGUUAUGUCUGGAGAAGAUAUUGCUACAGUGCAUUCUUCAGUCAAGAACUUUGUCAGGAGCUGAUGCCAUCAAUGCUCUCAGACCUUUCUAUUUUGCUGUGCAUCCAGAUUUCUUUGGCCAGCAUCCCAAAGAGAGGGAAGUAAAUGAAAACUCUCUGAAGAGGUUAAAUGGCUACUUGGAGAAUCUACAGAAACCAGGAUUUCGCUCCUUUAAGCCAACUCAGCUUACUUUUUAUGUAAGAGAAAGAGAACCAAACUCUUCUAAUGUUCAAGAAUCCUUCAGUGCUUCAGGGUUUCGAGCAGUCAGUUUUACAUUACAUACUAGGGAUCUCCUGAGCACAGUAUUAGAUAUUCUCAACUCCUGCAGUUUAUCUACGGAGCAUAUUCAGAGUUUGAAUGUGAACUCUCAGACCCACAAGGAAGCAAAAAGCGCAGUGAACAGACCUAUCAAAUGGGAUAAGACUUACUAUUCAUUUACUGGAUUCAAGGAUCCUGAGGAGGAACUAGAACAAGCCCAGAGAGUGGAAACAACUUUAAUAUCCUGGCUAGAUGAUAAUGAAGCAAGUGCAGUAAAAAAGCUGAAAAAGAGUUUGCCACUUAGAAAAGAACUAGAACGUUUAAAAUUUGAACUCUCUCAUCAACUUGAGCUCUCAGAUAUCAGGUGGCAGAGAAGCUGGGGUAUUGCUCACCGCUGCAGCCAACUACACAGUCUAGGUCGCUUAGUCCAACAGAGACCUGAAGUAUUAAAGAACGUUAAAGGACGCACGGUGGUAUUUACAGACCGUUCAGGUAUGAGUGCAGCAGGCCACAUAAUGCUGGGGACCAUGGAUGUUCACCAUCACUGGACCAAAAUUUUUGAGAGAUUGCCAAAUUAUUAUAAACUUCAAAAAAGGCUGCUGUUCUUGGAAGAUCGGAUAAGCCAACUUCUGGGAGGCAUACAAGUAAUAUAUAUUGAAGAACUGCAACCCCUGUUGACUCUGGAAGAGUACUAUGAGACUCUGGACUCUUUCUAUAAUAAAUUGCGUGACAGUAGACUACCUUUUCAUCCUCGCAGUCUGCGAGGCUUGCAAAUGAUUCUGGAAAGUGACAGAUAUGCACCAAGCUUACAUGAAUUUGGACACUUUACAAUCCCAACGGUCUGUGAUCCAGCAACCCUUCAAUGGUUUAUUUUUGCUAAAGCACAGGAGGCAAGAGAGAAUCUGAAAAGAAAGGAGGAGAUGAUGAUUACAGAAAAAGAGCUAAUCGAUACUUCCACUGAAAAAUUUUCUUUGGAUCGGCUGUAUAAAGAACCCAGUGUUUCCAGUGCACAGAUGAUAGAUUGUUGUAAGCGACUGCUAGAAGAAUCGUUGCCAUACCUACAAGGCAUGCACCUUUGCAUUUCGCAUUUCUACUCUGUGCUGCAGGAUGGAGACCUGUGUAUACCUUGGAACUGGAAAAACUGAGGACAUAUCUGAUAAUCAGAUGAAUUGUUUAUUUUCUGUAAGAGGCUAUAAAUAUGAAUGUUUUUAAGAGUAAAUUAUUUAAAUCUGUAUUUUGAUAUCAGUAUUCAACCCACAAAUUUUCUUCUAACUGCUGCUCAAAAAGGAUCGGAGUCCUAGACAAUUUGCACAAUGCGCAGUGUUGCCAGUUCUGGGAAAGAUACCUGUACAUUCUCCAUACUACUGUAGGAGUCCCAGUGUAUGGUAGCAGUUGUGAAACCACAUUUUUGUAGUGAAUUACAAAAAUAUAUUAAAUUGCAAGUCUGCAAAAAUGUGCAUGUGUAUUUUUAAUAUACAUGGAUAUUGCCAGAUAGAUCUUCUUAAAUAGAGUGUACGACUCAAACCAGACGUUACAUGUCAUCUUAAGGGAUUCACUGAAUGCAGAAGUUGAGUACAUGAGUUACCUGGUGGCAAUAUUGGCAUUUCGUAUUGCUACCUCUUACUGAAUUAAAAAAAAAAAAGACAAAGGAAAAAACAUCAGAGUAUUUCUACUUUGCAGAAGAAAGCGGUUCAUUAACUUGGUCUCUACAGUAGAGUUUCAUAUGCUGGUCCAAUAUUGUUGCCUUAGAAUUUCAAAAUACGCCAGUUGUACUGUCUGCAGUUACUUUAGAGGAGAUGUUGUUCUCUUUUUGUUUUCCGGCAUUUGCUCCAUAAAUACAGACAAUCCUCUUUACCUACACUAUAACAGGUUGCAAAUUGCAUUCACAACACUUGAAACCUGAGUAGUUUAAUGUGACAUCUGAGGAAAAGGAAGCAUUGAUUUGUGUGGGAUUGUCUACAAGAGUAAGUACUUCUCAGUGAGAGCAAGGAGUUUGCAGUAAGGCAAAUGCAUGGAUCUUUACUGGUACUUUAUUCCUUGAAAAAAAUGAAUUAAAGUGUGAAUGUAUGUCAACACUUUUUCAUUGUAAUACAUGCCAAGAUGCAUUUUGUGUUUGGUUUACUACUUUGCAAAAUACCCUUGGAGAAGAACCAACUGCUUAACGAUUCUGGACUUGAAUUCACCUAUAACAACUGGCAAAAAGAAAAAAAAAAAAAAAAAGAGUUGUCAAAUGCUUACUUGCCUUGUAUUUAUAUUUGUAUUAGGCAGGGAAAUUGUUGUGGUUCUCUGUUUUCCCCUGUUAAAAAGCUAGGUGUCAAGUUGUUUAUUAUGUUGCCAAACUUAAAACAAAACCCCCCACUGUGAUCUCAAACAUGUCCGUUUUAAAACAUUGAGACAAAGCUGUGACUUUCUCAGGCCUUUAAUUCAGCCAAAUUCCUGUAUAGGUUCUGAAGAUCAGUUGAUAGUUUCUUCUAAGUAGUUAACUUCCAUUGCACAUUACUUGCCCUCGCUCCAUCUGGCAUUGAUGGAUACUGUCUGUGUCCCGGUUGUGCUAAGCAAGUGAUCCAGUCCUGUCAGUUGUAGCCCAGCAAUAUUCCCUGUGACAGCUCUUUGGAAGUAGGAUGUCUUCAGGAAUAAAAGCUGAGUGUAGUAAUUUUUUUUUUCCCUGCUUGAAUUGAAUGACUCCUUACAGGUCUUCAGGCAAGAAGCAGCUGUCCAGUUUGACUGUAGAGGAGAUAAAAAAAAAAGUCUGAGGGAAGGGGCAUAGUUGAGCAGUCAGCUAAUGCCUGUGGUAGCUGUGUGCACCCUCUCUCUGUAAUGGGAUAUUCUGGGACCAUUUACUAAAAGCAGCAAUCGGAUGAGAACCUGAUGUCCUCCUUCAAGACUGCUCUGUGAUCUGGCGGCCACAGUUCAAGAUCAAGGCGUUUCUUUGAUAGUGCUUUGUCCAACCCACACAUUAUUUUACCCAUCAGUUUGUCAUUCUCCUGGGAACCUCUCGUUCAGGGUUGGUUUUUUUAAUGGGAUGUUUCAAGUUCAUUGAGUCAGUGGGUCAUAGUUGUAGACUGAGUUUUUGAGUCCUACUUGUGUUAUAGUUCAAGGGCAUGGGUAACCUGUUUUCAACUUGCAUUGAUUUCAGACAGUCCAUCGAGAUAGAGCUCUAACUUCUACACAAUCACACAAUGCUCAAAAAAAUAAAUUUAAAUGCAAAUCCCUCAAUUUCACACUUAACUAAAAUUCCUAGAAAGUACUUAACAAUAAGCACUACAUCUAACUUUAAUUUGCUUUCUCUCACCGAUCUGGAGCCAGGGCAGCCUUGUACAGAGUCUGCAUGAUUUGGGGCUCACCCUGCUAGCAGGGGUCUGCAAAGGCAGUAUUGGCUCAGAGAAGCAGAGCUACCAAGGGUGAGUCAGUGCUGUCUUCAUCAGCACUGCCUGUGCAGCCCCAGGGGAGGACAUCCAAUCGCAGCAGCCUCUCCAGUGGGGUAGCCUGAGGAGCCCUGCUCAUUUUAAAAAAAGAAAAAACACCCCAAAAACCAAACCAAACAAACAAAAAAACCUCCACAAAAACAAGUGAGGAAUGGCCUUUCUGAAACUGAUAACCUGGUUUUGCAGCAGUGUUGAGAGAGUAACAGCUCAUGGUGUUACAAGCCAAUUCUCUGGUGCAGUUUUGCACAUUUCAAAUAAGGGAAGAUUCCUGGAGGAUGAUGCUGCUGUCUUCAGUAUGGACAAUCCCUCUAGCCAGGUGAUAUUUAAACACAGGGCUGUUAGUGUAUUGCGUGAUCAGAUGCAUAUUCCUCUCUGUUUAGUCUUCGAGCUUGUGAGACCUUUCUCCAAAGGUCACAAAGUGUUCACCUAAAUGUGACUAACCAGUUCACAAAGGUUUUGGCAACAGGGAAUCUUGUCUUGGUCAGUAGUUGUAUGAUGCCUGGAAUAGCUGGGUCUCUUGCACUCUUUAUUACCACCAAAAAAAUCAAAUUAAUUAAUCAGAAUUUAGAAGCCUGUAUGGUUGCAAAUGUUUUUUCACUUCUCGGAUCUUUGCUGUCCUGGUAUGACAGACUUUGGAGGGAAUACAAGCUGUGCUGUAAAUUGGGGGAUGUAUAUGCAUUCUGGUUUUAGCCAGAAAUCUGUGCUGAAGCCCAAGAUCCCCUAUCUUGAUUUUGAGAUGGUGAAAAGUGGGUGGGACAGAAGGCCCUGCAGGUCUGAACCCCUCCUGGCCAAGAUUGGGACUUAAAAAAGAAAAUUACGUAUCUCUUUCUUGCUACUGUAUGGUUCUUUCCAUCUUUGCUGGGUAUGGAAACUGUUAACUGUAAUCUUCUGGCAAGAACCACAUUUCAUCUACAAUUUAUGCUCUGGUCUAAAAAUGCGGAAAGGAACAACAAGGUUUAGGAUUGCACAGCUUGGCGCUUACAGUUUUUGCCUACCUCCUUCGUAAUGUAGUUUGUCGUGGCCAACACUGAAUGGCUGAUCUUAAGAGCAGGUUCCAACUGAGAUUUCUAGGUAUAAUUUAGUAGCAUAUCACUACCUGGGUGGCAGCCCUUUGAAAGCCUUGGAGACCUUAUUGCCUUUGCAGGUAUCUUCAGAUGUCUUCAACAAGUCCUAACAGACGUUCUCAGCUCACAGGUCUCUCUUAGAAGCCUUGAAACUUAAUUAUGUCUUAAUUUGAAAAAUCUCUUGUGAAAAGAUACUCUCUCAUCCAAGUAAAGCUGUAUAAGGCUGUAUGGUGAGUGUAGUGUGUCUGUGUGGCUGGUUGGCACUAGAAGUUUCUUUCAGAGAAAAGGACUGCUGUUCUGGCUAGGUAUGAAUGUCCUGAGUUUCUCCUUCAUCAGGUUAUUCUUGGUAGAUACAAAUGACAGACCGGUUUAUUCUAAAUGCCUGUGUUCAGAAGUGGUUAAGAAGAGAGCAUGAAGGGAUUUGGUGUUGAGCACAUCUCUGUCUUCCUCCUUCAUCUCCUCCAUUUGUUGUCUCAAGCACUAGUGCCAUUGGGCUUCUCCACCUUGAGUGAACAUGGACCAUUGGCUGCGAUGGUGACAAAGAGUUUGGCAAGAAAUAAUAAUCCAGGGUUUCCAAAACUGCUUUCUGCUUCCGAUGAAAUAAAAGCAUCGCUGGGUACAGGCUGUCCCUCUGUGUCUUAAACCCUCAUGCUCCAUCAUAGUGUUACAAUAUGUACUCUGCCUGCAUUCAAAUAUGUUCUAGCAUGUUGCUCAUCUCAGUGGUAGUCUGUAGAGAUUUUGUACAAAUACUGAGUCAUCCAUGGCACAGGAUAUUUGGUAACUCCUCAGUUCUUUCUUGCUUUAAAGUUUGUCCUGGUUUUGUCAUUCUGUCAUUGUUACCUUCCUUUAUAAUGUUCAUUUAUUCCAAAGAUAAACCAGCCUUUCUUGAGGACAGAGUUAAUACUAGGUGAAACACUAUUAUGCAGCGAUUAAUGGAAGCCUAGAUGCAGUUAGCAAUUACUUAAAAUGGGCUGGAUUUCCUAAUGAUUACUUUGUUCCGUACAAAUUUAUUUUGCAGACAACUUACUAUACUGAAUUCUUCUUGGAUAAUGAAUUUGUGAGACAUUUUCAACAUCACCCUGAGGCACAAGCAGAAAUUGUCUCCUCACUGACCAUGUAUGACAAAUAACUAAAAUGGAUAGGCUCUUGCACAGACCCUGCACACUUGAAAGGCCUGCACAAUUCCUAGCUUCUAGGGGAAAAAAACCCUUGACUGUAAGUGAGGAGAACUGCGCUGGAGAAUUUGAGCAUUAUCAUCAUGGUGCACUGUUAAAGUCACAGAAUAUGUCUUUAGGUAAAAGGCAUAAACAAAUGAUAUGUGAAAAACAAUUUGGAGUAGCUCUAAGCUCUCCUAAUGUUUCCCUUUCUGCUUUAUUAGUCAUUCUAAACCUCCUGCUACCCGGGCUAUAACCUUGGGAUUAUUCUUUAUACGAUGAGCAUAUUUAGAGUCAAAUUUUGUGUCCCAUAACUUUAACCAUAGCAUACAUUAUUAAAAAUUAAUUUAAUGGUCCUCUAGGAUCCAACUCUGGAGGUAGCAAACAAGCAUCUCAGUUAUAUAUUGUCUUCAAUUAUUCAUUAAGAACUAUGGGGAUUUUCUAGAACAUAUCUCUAGCGAAGCUCAAAGCUGUUCUCCUAGUGCCAGCAACAAAGCUCUGCUACUUAGUUUAACAGAAAUGGACAUGAUUUCCCUGUUGGGUUUCUCGUUUGAACUGUGUAAUAAUUUAUCGCAUUUAAUAAAGUUUAUUACAAACAUGA